This 495-nucleotide ribosomal RNA is filed under the name uncultured bacterium. Its description in RNAcentral is "partial 16S ribosomal RNA". It matches the Rfam family "Bacterial small subunit ribosomal RNA", at positions 28 to 507 of the family's 1533-position model. The record is from RNAcentral.
GACGAACGCUGGCGGCGUGCCUAAUACAUGCAAGUAGAACGCUGAAGGAGGAGCUUGCUCUUCUGGAUGAGUUGCGAACGGGUGAGUAACGCGUAGGUAACCUGCCUUGUAGCGGGGGAUAACUAUUGGAAACGAUAGCUAAUACCGCAUAAGAGUAGAUGUUGCAUGACAUUUACUUAAAAGUUGCAAUUGCAUCACUACCAGAUGGACCUGCGUUGUAUUAGCUAGUUGGUGGGGUAACGGCUUACCAAGGCGACGAUACAUAGCCGACCUGAGAGGGUGAUCGGCCACACUGGGACUGAGACACGGCCCAGACGCCUACGGGAGGCAGCAGGAGGGAAUCUUCGGCAAUGGACGGAAGUCUGACCGAGCAACGCCGCGUGAGUGAAGAAGGUUGUCGGAUCGUAAAGCUCUGUUGUAAGAGAAGAACGAGUGUGAGAGUGGAAAGUUCACACUGUGACGGUAUCUGACCAGAAAGGGACGGCUAACUACGUG